UACGUAGGGUGCAAGCGUUAUCCGGAAUUAUUGGGCGUAAAGAGCUCGUAGGCGGUUUGUCGCGUCUGCUGUGAAAACUGGGGGCUCAACCCCCAGCCUGCAGUGGGUACGGGCAGACUAGAGUGCGGUAGGGGAGAUUGGAAUUCCUGGUGUAGCGGUGGAAUGCGCAGAUAUCAGGAGGAACACCGAUGGCGAAGGCAGAUCUCUGGGCCGUAACUGACGCUGAGGAGCGAAAGCAUGGGGAGCGAACAG
This 252-nucleotide ribosomal RNA is filed under the name uncultured bacterium. RNAcentral describes it as "partial 16S ribosomal RNA". It matches the Rfam family "Bacterial small subunit ribosomal RNA", at positions 524 to 775 of the family's 1533-position model. The record is from RNAcentral.